UGUAUAUUAGAUGGACUUACGUUUUUUGUCAACAUAGAUUUCCAUAAUUUAUUGAAGACAAGUCGUUUAGGCUUUCCAUCUAAACUUACAGAGCAAGUAAAGUUUAUCUUAUGUGGAAUUUAAAGUCAGCAAUGUACAGCUUCAACUUAUUUUCUUCCUCAAACUAAUAGGUCAUGGUCAUGGUCAUGGUCAUGGUCAAUCUCAAUUCUCAUGUGAGUAUGUGUAUAGUAUUGGUUAUGUGAUCACCUGUGUUCAAAGUGAUUGAACUAUUUCAGCAAACAGAUUAAAUUUUUAUGGUCAACUUUGUUAGGGGAAUUUGGCCUAUUACCCUUGUUUUAAAGGCUUUAAUGAAAACUACCCACCCGUUUCCAACCCUUUUUGUUUUACCCUUCUAUUUUUUAAAUAUCCCCACAUUACCCUUUUCAAAUGUGAAAAGGAAGAAUGAAGAUGUAAGGUUACACCAUUUUUCCUCUAAACGGAGCACGAAGAAGAAGAGGAAGAAAAAGUGAGAGAGAAUGGCUAAGUGUUUUAGGACAAUUGGAGUUUUUCCUUUUGUCCCCUCUUGGCUUAGUUAGCUCUUGCUUCAGAUGUAAGUGAAGUUAAAAAUAUCUCUUCCUUUUCGGUAAGCUCAGUACUCGAGGGAGGAUCAGAGAAUCCACUCUUUACGUUAGGCUAGCGGUAUCUGUUUCUGUAUCAGCUUUAUCUAGCGAGUGGGCUUCUUCGUUGAGUAGACGUCUCGAGGGAACAAACCAAACAAAAUCCGUUUUUUUAGUAAAAACUCCUACUUUUGGCUUUCUCUUGCUGUUGCGUAAGUCGGAACUCUAAACGAAUCGAAAACACGUUCAGUAGAUAGAUCAGAAAAGAGAGGAGGAGCGAGUGGAGGAAGCAUCCAAGGCUCAGCAAUCAGCUCUGCCAUGCCCUUCUCGAUCUUGGCCUCGGAGUCGACGAGCAGGUCUACAACAAACUUCUCCUUCCUCUUCUUCUUCUGCUUCUUCUUCUUCUCACCACUCUUCCCAUUCCUCUGCUUCUCACUGACUCACUGAGACAACUAAAACAAUAACCUCAUCAGGAUGAUGGAUCUGUUCUACGUAUAUUUUCUCUUUCUGGAAGUAAUGCCCAAGAUGGACAUUUAGCUACUGGUCGUAAUGGUGUAAAGCGCCUCAAAACUAUAAGUUGUCAUCUGUUUUACUUUUUGAUGUGGUUGCUAUCUAUAUUGUCAUGGAGCCUGCUGUUCCACUAUUAGAAAAGAUCAAGGAACUAAAUUUGGAAGGUACAUAAAGGUAUAAACAAUCUGGUCUUCCUGGUUGAUAUUGGUUGUUUGAUUGCAUUAAUCUAAUUGCAUGAUACAUGUAAUUCUUCUUGUGCUAAAAAAUGUUUAAGGUGCUUGCAUUAAUGGUGAUAGCAUAUGAAGAAUCUUGGAGAAUUUAAAACUACUCUUUGACUUUUUUGUUUGAAAUGGGAAAUCUAAAUCAAUAUUAGCCACCUGUUUAGUAGGUUAUUGAAAACUCUUCCUGGCCAACUUGGUUUCUUUGAUUCAUUUAGUGAAUAUGUUCUAUCAGUGUGAUGUUAACUUUUGUUUUAGUGCUUCUCUUUAUUUAAAAAUUGAAAUUUCCAUCUAAAUGUAAACAGUAACAUGUAAUAUCUUUUGGUUUCUUUGUAUGAUUAUGCAUACAUAAGACAUGUGCCAAUCCUGUUUAUCACCGACUUGAAAGAAAAUGAAAAGAUUUGUCACUGCUACAACACAACUAUUACAAGAGCAGGAAGUGCUGAUGAAGCUUAAGCAAACUCUGAGGAGAAUGCAAGUCAAUGCUCAGUUAGAUCGUGUGAACUUGCUUGAGUUCCAGCAGAUGGUGAUAUGCCAUCGUCAAGAAAUGAGAAAUUUAAAAGAUUUGUGUCCAUGGAAUAAAACUUUCACGCGGAUGAGUCAUGUUGCACCUUUUAAAGGAUGCAUGGUGGGUGGAAUUGAUUCUUCCAUUGAAGAGAUAUGCAAGCCAACCAUUGGCGGUUCAAUGCAGUUGAGAAAUGUUAGCAUUGAAUUGGUUGUCAGUCAGGUCUUCCACAAGGCUAUUUAUUGUUCACAAAAGAGAAUUAAAGCCAUAAAUUUCCACUUCAUUCCAUGAAAGCUGUUUUGAGCAUCUAGUUUGACAUUUUUUUUUCUUUUUUUCAAAGGCAAAGCUUCCAAUGGUAUUGAGUUACUUUCACAGCUUUUGAAAAAUUCUUUUAUUUGUUGAUAUGGUGGAUCCAAUAGCCGUUUUCUUAUGAAGCAUAUACUUUGUCUUUUACUAUGCAAUUAUUUUUUAGUCCAUAUAUAUAUGGACAUAUAUAUAUAUAUAUAUAUAUAUUUCCACGAAAAUUCUAUGGUGAGGACGGUUCGCAUAAGGAUCGCAGUAUUAGUGACAGUUUUUUAUAGUAUUAACGACGGUUUCUUAAAAAAUUAUCACCAAUACUAUGAAAAACCGUCACCAAUACUGUGGUCUGCAUGAUGACCAUCCGCACCAUAGACGGACUGUAUAUUUCCAUAUACGUGCACAAACAUAUACAUAUUCCUCAUCCAUUAUGCAUCAAUGGACCCUAAGAUUAUCAUAGUUACAUAGUUACAUUAUAUAAAAAAAAUAAACAUCCUUCAUGCAUUAAUAUUAUGUUACAUAAUUACAUGAAAAAAAAUUAACAUAAAAAAUCACCAAUAGAAUUAUCAAAAAUGCAGAAGGAUACUGUCGGUAAUUUUUUAGCAACUAUGUUAAUCUUUGAAAAAAUUACCGACAUGGGCCAUAAGGAUUACACACAUGCAAUGAUCAAAUAGAUGUAUGCAUUGUUAGGGAAAGGCAGUUGGCCUAGUUCCAAAUGAUUUAAAACUAGGGGAUAUGUAAGAAGGGAACAAGGAUUUUGUUGGAGAGUUAUCAGUAACCAUUGUGGACGCUCGAAAGCUUUGUUAUUUCUUCUAUGGUAAAACUGAGUCUUUAAAUCCAAAAACAACUAUUCUUGUACCUAAAGAUAGAUAUGGACUUCACGCAGUUGAUACAUUGGAUCCUGACAUGAAACUAGUCGAGCUCCAUUUGAUCUCCCAGAAGCGGAAGCUGGAUCAGCUGCAGGCUAUAGUGUGAAUGCAAUUUUUCCUAAGUCUUUCAUAUGCUUACAAGAGGAGAGGUGAGAGAUGCUUUUUCAUAGAGGAAAGGAAAGCAGAGGUGGAGUAAGGAUUUAUUAUUAUUUAUUUUUCAAUGGAGUUGUAGGAAUGUAAUUAGUAGCCCAAUUGUUGGAUGUGUGAGUGUUGUGGUAUUGUUUUGUUAAAAAAGUCAUUUGUGGUAUUAUUUUGGUAAAAUAGUAUUGUGUUUUAAGUAUUUUGUAUGUUAUUUACCAUUAUAGAGAUGACAUUCAAUAAUCAUGAUAAUAUGAUAUUAACGUGUUUAUAAAAUUGUGGUGGGAAAUUUA
Molecule: long non-coding RNA, 3426 nt
Organism: Ziziphus jujuba (common jujube)
Lineage: Eukaryota; Viridiplantae; Streptophyta; Magnoliopsida; Rosales; Rhamnaceae
Exons: 5
Source: RefSeq, a predicted model, not a curated record